This 948-nucleotide ribosomal RNA is filed under the name Triticum aestivum (bread wheat). RNAcentral's name for it is "partial small subunit ribosomal RNA". Lineage: Eukaryota; Viridiplantae; Streptophyta; Magnoliopsida; Poales; Poaceae. The record is from RNAcentral.
GAUUCCUUUUAAUUGUUGUUUGAAAUAUGUGUUGAACAAAACUGUACUAUUGAAAAAAUUGGGUCCUUGAACCAUAUUUCCUCUUUUAGGAGAAGGAUGUCUCCUGAGAUGAUGAAAUAGUGGGAAGAAUUGAAAAUGGUGUUAAUGCUAAGACAAAAUGAACUCCCCGAUGAGGUGUAUUGGAAACUAGACAGUUCAAAAAAGUAUACCACAAAAUCUAUGUAUAGAUGGCUGGAGAGAGACCUUGCUGGUUAAAACUUCAAAUAGAUUUGGGAUGCCCAAUUACCUCUUAAGAUCCAAAUUUUCUUGUGGCAAGUAUGUCAGAAUGCUAUCCUAACUAGAGACAACAUGAAAAGGUUAUGGCCAGGGGACCCUGGCUGCUAUUUUUGUGAUCAGUUGGAAACAUCUUAGCACAUGUUGUUCCCGUGUCCCGUUUCUAGAGUGGUGUUGAGAAUUGUUGGUUCUCUACUAGGAAUUGAAUGUUGCCCCAAUUAUGUUUGGCAAUACUAUACUUGGGUGUAUAGCAUUGUACCUGGCUUUGAUAGAUUGUACACUAUUGGUUUGGCAACUAUAUGUUGGGCCAUUUGGCUGGCUUGGAACCGCGCCACUUUCGAACACAAAUGGAUUAACACUCCAUUUGAGAUUGUGUUUACACCUUUUGCCUUUUUGAUUUAUUGGGUAGGUUUGUAUAAGCCUGAGAUGGGUGAGAUGGUGAAGAGGGGCGCGGAGAUGUUGAAGGAGAAUACCUCCCAGAUGAUGAUGCUAUGCGGUCCGCCGAACCCGACCAUGGGCGGUCACGGCAGAAAGAAAAGCUACCAUAGGUCUCGUAUAUCUCGCUUUUGUUACCAGGACAUCGCUAUGAUUUGGAGAUCUUGCCAGAUGACAAUAGGAGUGCAUUGCCCUUCGUUCCUAUUUAGUCUUUGGGUCAUGUUGGUAGUCUUUUGGUGA